Long non-coding RNA from Lampris incognitus (smalleye Pacific opah), 385 nucleotides. RefSeq lists it as uncharacterized. NCBI's taxonomy places the organism in Eukaryota, Metazoa, Chordata, Actinopteri, Lampriformes, Lampridae. The record is from RefSeq and is a predicted model, not a curated record. The transcript is spliced from 3 exons.
AUUUGCUCCUCUGUUCGAAGUUCUCGCAGGUCAUGAAGCUUUUCAGAGGAUGUGAUUCUCUUUGAAGAAACUGACAUCACCAGGAACUGCGGGGUUCUGACUAGACAGCUCCUUUUCCUGCCACAGUUAUUUGUUUGUCUUCUGAUCAUCUGGCCUAGGACUGUCAGUCAAGAGCAUAAAUGGAGGACUGGGCUGUCCUCAGUUUGCGAGAGUUAAAGACUUCUGAGAAAGCCAAUCCAGUAAUAUGAGCUGGGAAACUACUGAAAGAAGAAUGAGAAACCUGAGCAUCAUUGCCAACGCAGAACCCUAGCCAACACUCUCCUCUCUUCCCUCUGGUCUCCUGUAACCUCCUCCCUCUGGUCCUUCUCCCCUGGCUCAAUUUGCC